CAAAAAGUAGUUCUUAUAGAAGAAAUUAUAUGUGUGUGUAAUAUAUAUAUAUGUAUAUAUAUUAUGUGUGUGUGUAUAUAUAUAUAUGUAUAUAUAUGUAUGUGUGUAUGUAUAUGUAUGUAUGUGUAUGUAUAAAAUGUUUGCAGGCACAUAGGAUGAGUGACCCGUCAAAGGAGAUUUUAGAACUUAUCAGUGGGACAAAUGUUGAAUUUCUAAAUGCAGAACAUGGUCAUUCUUUGAAUAUUUAAGUACAAAUAUUAUUUCUUGGAUUAGAUUUGAAUGCAAAGGCCACUUUAAAGCCUAGUUCCUUUUUGUCGGACUAAGAGCAAGAGCCAGCUGUGUAAGAGCACCACUAAAAUGCCCCGGUGUUUGCCUCCAUCAUCACUGUCCCUGUGACACAACUCAGAAAACAAGAUGGAUGAGACAAGACGAGGCCAGAUGAGGCGAGAUGUGGUGAUUUUCACAUAACUAAAUAAACAGACAUUUGAACAUUAUGCAAGAUUAUGAAAUGUUACACUCUACUAAACACAAUAAAAUACUAUUUUACAAUUGU
Molecule: long non-coding RNA, 553 nt
Filed under: Rattus norvegicus (Norway rat)
Lineage: Eukaryota; Metazoa; Chordata; Mammalia; Rodentia; Muridae
Description: long non-coding RNA NONRATT017403
Source: RNAcentral